CAAGAUUCAGCCAUGCAUGUCUAAGUAUAAGCAAUUUAUACAGUGAAACUGCGAAUGGCUCAUUAAAUCAGUUAUCGUUUAUUUGAUAGUUCCUUUACUACAUGGUAUAACUGUGGUAAUUCUAGAGCUAAUACAUGCUUAAAAUCUCGACCCUUUGGAAGAGAUGUAUUUAUUAGAUAAAAAAUCAAUGUCUUCGGACUCUUUGAUGAUUCAUAAUAACUUUUCGAAUCGCAUGGCCUUGUGCUGGCGAUGGUUCAUUCAAAUUUCUGCCCUAUCAACUUUCGAUGGUAGGAUAGUGGCCUACCAUGGUUUCAACGGGUAACGGGGAAUAAGGGUUCGAUUCCGGAGAGGGAGCCUGAGAAACGGCUACCACAUCCAAGGAAGGCAGCAGGCGCGCAAAUUACCCAAUCCUAAUUCAGGGAGGUAGUGACAAUAAAUAACGAUACAGGGCCCAUUCGGGUCUUGUAAUUGGAAUGAGUACAAUGUAAAUACCUUAACGAGGAACAAUUGGAGGGCAAGUCUGGUGCCAGCAGCCGCGGUAAUUCCAGCUCCAAUAGCGUAUAUUAAAGUUGUUGCAGUUAAAAAGCUCGUAGUUGAACUUUGGGCCCGGUUGGCCGGUCCGAUUUUUUCGUGUACUGGAUUUCCAACGGGGCCUUUCCUUCUGGCUAACCUUGAGUCCUUGUGGCUCUUGGCGAACCAGGACUUUUACUUUGAAAAAAUUAGAGUGUUCAAAGCAGGCGUAUUGCUCGAAUAUAUUAGCAUGGAAUAAUAGAAUAGGACGUUUGGUUCUAUUUUGUUGGUUUCUAGGACCAUCGUAAUGAUUAAUAGGGACGGUCGGGGGCAUCAGUAUUCAAUUGUCAGAGGUGAAAUUCUUGGAUUUAUUGAAGACUAACUACUGCGAAAGCAUUUGCCAAGGACGUUUUCAUUAAUCAAGAACGAAAGUUAGGGGAUCGAAGAUGAUCAGAUACCGUCGUAGUCUUAACCAUAAACUAUGCCGACUAGGGAUCGGGUGGUGUUUUUUUAAUGACCCACUCGGCACCUUACGAGAAAUCAAAGUCUUUGGGUUCUGGGGGA
This 1074-nucleotide ribosomal RNA is filed under the name Saccharomyces cerevisiae (brewer's yeast). RNAcentral's name for it is "SSU rRNA". It matches the Rfam family "Eukaryotic small subunit ribosomal RNA", at positions 39 to 1121 of the family's 1831-position model. The record is from RNAcentral. Lineage: Eukaryota; Fungi; Ascomycota; Saccharomycetes; Saccharomycetales; Saccharomycetaceae.